RNAcentral lists this long non-coding RNA (365 nucleotides) under Theobroma cacao (cacao). RNAcentral describes it as "long non-coding RNA (TCAC_LNC004237)". Lineage: Eukaryota; Viridiplantae; Streptophyta; Magnoliopsida; Malvales; Malvaceae. The record is from RNAcentral.
AUUGGUUAAAGAACCUGGUCGGAGCCAGAUUGAGAUCAAUGGCUAUAUACAUGUUUUUGUUGCUGGAGAUAGAUCACAUAAUCGGUCUGCUAACAUCUACAAAAAGUUGGAUGAGCUUAAUAUUAAACUCAAGAAAGCUGGGUAUAUUGCUGAAAUAGAUAUGGUGAUUCAUGACUUGGAAAUUGAAGAAAAAGAGGAGGCUCUGAAGGUUCACAGUGAAAGAUUGGCUGUUGCGUGGGGACUAAUCAGUACUGACCUGGGAACCACUCUUACAAUCAUAAAGAACCUUCAAACUUGUGUUGAUUGUCACUCGUUUUUGAAGUUUACCUCCAAGGUUACAGGCAGGCAUCUUAUUGUAAGAGAUG